UUGGUGGUAGUAGCAAAUA
RNAcentral lists this non-coding RNA (19 nucleotides) under Arabidopsis thaliana (thale cress). The record is from RNAcentral. Lineage: Eukaryota; Viridiplantae; Streptophyta; Magnoliopsida; Brassicales; Brassicaceae.